UUAAUUAUACAUCACUACUACAAAUUUAUGAUUUAGCGGCAUUUACUCUGCAACAUUUAUUUAAAUAACGCUAAUUAAUAUAUUUAACAGCAUUACUUGAUAACUAUCGUUAAAUUUAAUAAUUUAGCAAUAAUUUACUAUUAAUAUUGCAAAAUAGAAUAAAUUAGCAGCAUAAAUUAGUAAAUGCCACCGANUCAAAUUUAAAACUAUUAAUUUUGAAACUUAAAAUUUCAUAUUUCAAAAUUAAAAAUUUAAAUUUAGUAUCUAAAUUUAAAAAUUUAAAAUUUUAAAAUUUUAAAAUAGAAGACUUAAAAUAUAAAAAAUUAAAAUAUACAUAACUAAUAGUCGCUAGCGCAAGUGGCAAAGGACUUGGUUGUUGGUACUCGAAGUCUCAUGUUCGAAUCCUAGUUGAUUCACAUUUCCAGCAAAGUUUAUGAUUUAUGAAAAAAAGAAAUAAAUGAAGCGGGUAGCAUAUCAAUAAAAUUAAAUAUAAAAUUAAAAUUUUAAAAUUUAAAUUUCUAAAAUCAGAUAUUUGUAUUAGCGGCAUUAUAUUUAUGUGUCAUUAAUAAACAAUUUAAAAUUAGCAUUUAAUCCCCUUUAGCGGCAUAUUCCUAAUGACACUAAUUAAUUUAUAUCGGCGGCAUUUAUAAUUAAUGCUGCUAAAACUUUUAGCAACAUUGGCAUAGGCAGCAUUUCAUGUCAUAUGCUGCUAAAACUUUUAGCAGCAUUUGUUGAUCAUUUAGCAGAAUAAAUAAAUACCACUAAUGAUUAAUUUUCUAGUAGUGCAUGAAUAUGACUUCCGACACUUACCAUGCAUAUCCAAA
This 824-nucleotide long non-coding RNA is filed under the name Ananas comosus (pineapple). RNAcentral's name for it is "long non-coding RNA (ACOM_LNC006644)". The record is from RNAcentral. Lineage: Eukaryota; Viridiplantae; Streptophyta; Magnoliopsida; Poales; Bromeliaceae.